Molecule: ribosomal RNA, 253 nt
Filed under: uncultured bacterium
Lineage: Bacteria
Description: partial 16S ribosomal RNA
Rfam family: Bacterial small subunit ribosomal RNA
Source: RNAcentral
UACGAAGGGGGCGAGCGUUGUUCGGAAUUACUGGGCGUAAAGGGCGCGUAGGCGGCGACCCAAGUCAGAUGUGAAAGUCCUGGGCUUAACCUGGGGACUGCAUUUGAUACUGGGUUGCUUGAAUUCGGGAGAGGAUAGCGGAAUUCCCAGUGUAGAGGUGAAAUUCGUAGAUAUUGGGAAGAACACCGGUGGCGAAGGCGGCUAUCUGGACCGACAUUGACGCUGAGGAACGAAAGCUAGGGGAGCAAACAGG